GUGGGGAAUAUUGGACAAUGGGCGAAAGCCUGACGCAGCCAUGCCGCGUGGAUGAUGAAGGUCUUAGGAUUGUAAAAUCCUUUCACCGGUGAAGAUAAUGACUGUAGCCGGAGAAGAAGCCCCGGCUAACUUCGUGCCAGCAGCCGCGGUAAUACGAAGGGGGCUAGCGUUGCUCGGAUUUACUGGGCGUAAAGGGCGCGUAGGCGGACAUUUAAGUCAGGGGUGAAAUCCCGGGGCUCAACCUCGGAACUGCCUUUGAUACUGGAUGUCUUGAGUGUGAGAGAGGUGUGUGGAACUCCGAGUGUAGAGGUGAAAUUCGUAGAUAUUCGGAAGAACACCAGUGGCGAAGGCGACACACUGGCUCAUUACUGACGCUGAGGCGCGAAAGCGUGGGGAGCAAACAGGAUUAGAUACCCGAGUAGUCC
Molecule: ribosomal RNA, 425 nt
Filed under: uncultured bacterium
Lineage: Bacteria
Description: partial 16S ribosomal RNA
Rfam family: Bacterial small subunit ribosomal RNA
Source: RNAcentral